UUCUGACCGUAAACGAUGCCAACUAGCGAUCCGCCGGCGGAUUCCAAACGCCCUGGUGGGGAGCUUCCCGGAAACGAAAGUCUUCCGGUUCCGGGGGAAGUAUGGUUGCAAAGCUGAAACUUAAAGGAAUUGACGGAAGGGCACCACCAGGAGUGGAGCCUGCGGCUUAAUUUGACUCAACACGGGAAAACUCACCCGGCCCGGACACCGCGAGGAUUGACAGAUUGAUAGCUCUUUCAUGAUUCGGUGGAUGGUGGUGCAUGGCCGUUCUUAGUUCGUGGAGCGAUUUGUCUGGUUUAUUCCGAUAACGAGCGAGACUCUAGCCUACUAACUAGUCCGCAUGUUCGCUUGUUGCAUGCUUGGGACUUCUUAGAGGGAUUUUCGGCGUUUCAGCCGCACGAAACUGAGCAAUAACAGGUCUGUGAUGCCCUUAGAUGUCCGGGGCUGCACGCGCGCUACACUGGCGAAAUCAGCGUGCCUGUCCUCUCGCGAAAGCGACUGGUAAACCGGUGAAAAUUCGCCGUGAUUGGGAUCGGAAAUUGCAAUUAUUUUCCGUGAACGAGGAAUUCCAAGUAAGUGCGAGUCAUCAACUCGCGUUG
Molecule: ribosomal RNA, 599 nt
Filed under: unidentified nematode
Lineage: Eukaryota; Metazoa; Nematoda
Description: SSU rRNA
Rfam family: Eukaryotic small subunit ribosomal RNA
Source: RNAcentral